Molecule: ribosomal RNA, 120 nt
Filed under: Pteropus alecto (black flying fox)
Lineage: Eukaryota; Metazoa; Chordata; Mammalia; Chiroptera; Pteropodidae
Source: RNAcentral
GUCUACGGCCAUGCCACCCUGAACGUACCUGAUCCCGUCUGACCCUUGCAAGCUAAGCAGGGUCAGGCCUGGUUAGUACUUGGAUGGGAGACCACCUAGGAAGACCAGGUGCUGUAAGCA